AUUGAACGCUGGCGGCAUGCCUUACACAUGCAAGUCGAACGGUAACAGGUCUUCGGAUGCUGACGAGUGGCGAACGGGUGAGUAAUACAUCGGAACGUGCCCGAUCGUGGGGGAUAACGAAGCGAAAGCUUUGCUAAUACCGCAUAAGAUCUACGGAUGAAAGCAGGGGACCGCAAGGCCUUGCGCGAACGGAGCGGCCGAUGGCAGAUUAGGUAGUUGGUGGGAUAAAAGCUUACCAAGCCGACGAUCUGUAGCUGGUCUGAGAGGACGACCAGCCACACUGGGACUGAGACACGGCCCAGACUCCUACGGGGGGCAGCAGUGGGGAAUUUUGGACAAUGGGCGAAAGCCUGAUCCAGCCAUGCCGCGUGCAGGAUGAAGGCCUUCGGGUUGUAAACUGCUUUUGUACGGAACGAAAAGACUCUGGUUAAUACCUGGGGUCCAUGACGGUACCGUAAGAAUAAGCACCGGCUAACUACGUG
Molecule: ribosomal RNA, 482 nt
Filed under: uncultured bacterium
Lineage: Bacteria
Description: partial 16S ribosomal RNA
Rfam family: Bacterial small subunit ribosomal RNA
Source: RNAcentral